AACCCAGUGUGACUCGUCACACUAUCAUUAACUGAAUCCAUAGGUUAAUGAGGCGAACCGGGGGAACUGAAACAUCUAAGUACCCCGAGGAAAAGAAAUCAACCGAGAUUCCCCCAGUAGCGGCGAGCGAACGGGGAGGAGCCCAGAGCCUGAAUCAGCAUGUGUGUUAGUGGAAGCGUCUGGAAAGGCGCGCGAUACAGGGUGACAGCCCCGUACACAAAAGCGCAUGUGCUGUGAGCUCGAUGAGUAGGGCGGGACACGUGGUAUCCUGUCUGAAUAUGGGGGGACCAUCCUCCAAGGCUAAAUACUCCUGACUGACCGAUAGUGAACCAGUACCGUGAGGGAAAGGCGAAAAGAACCCCGGCGAGGGGAGUGAAAAAGAACCUGAAACCGUGUACGUACAAGCAGUGGGAGCACCCUUUGGGUGUGACUGCGUACCUUUUGUAUAAUGGGUCAGCGACUUAUAUUCUGUAGCAAGGUUAACCGAAUAGGGGAGCCGGAGGGAAACCGAGUCUUAACCGGGCGUUAAGUUGCAGGGUAUAGACCCGAAACCCGGUGAUCUAGCCAUGGGCAGGUUGAAGGUUGGGUAACACUAACUGGAGGACCGAACCGACUAAUGUUGAAAAAUUAGCGGAUGACCUGUGGCUGGGGGUGAAAGGCCAAUCAAACCGGGAGAUAGCUGGUUCUCCCCGAAAGCUAUUUAGGUAGCGCCUCGUGAAUUCAUCUCCGGGGGUAGAGCACUGUUUCGGCUAGGGGGCCAUCCCGGCUUACCAACCCGAUGCAAACUGCGAAUACCGGAGAAUGUUAUCACGGGAGACACACGGCGGGUGCUAACGUCCGUCGUGAAGAGGGAAACAACCCAGACCGCCAGCUAAGGUCCCAAAGUCAUGGUUAAGUGGGAAACGAUGUGGGAAGGCCCAGACAGCCAGGAUGUUGGCUUAGAAGCAGCCAUCAUUUAAAGAAAGCGUAAUAGCUCACUGGUCGAGUCGGCCUGCGCGGAAGAUGUAACGGGGCUAAACCAUGCACCGAAGCUGCGGCAGCGACACUGUGUGUUGUUGGGUAGGGGAGCGUUCUGUAAGCCUGUGAAGGUGUGUCGUGAGGCAUGCUGGAGGUAUCAGAAGUGCGAAUGCUGACAUAAGUAACGAUAAAGCGGGUGAAAAGCCCGCUCGCCGGAAGACCAAGGGUUCCUGUCCAACGUUAAUCGGGGCAGGGUGAGUCGACCCCUAAGGCGAGGCCGAAAGGCGUAGUCGAUGGGAAACGGGUUAAUAUUCCCGUACUUGGUGUUACUGCGAAGGGGGGACGGAGAAGGCUAUGUUGGCCGGGCGACGGUUGUCCCGGUUUAAGCGUGUAGGUGUGUGUUCCAGGUAAAUCCGGUUCACUUUAACACUGAGGCGUGACGACGAGGCACUACGGUGCUGAAGCAACAAAUGCCCUGCUUCCAGGAAAAGCCUCUAAGCAUCAGGUAACAUCAAAUCGUACCCCAAACCGACACAGGUGGUCAGGUAGAGAAUACCAAGGCGCUUGAGAGAACUCGGGUGAAGGAACUAGGCAAAAUGGUGCCGUAACUUCGGGAGAAGGCACGCUGACACGUAGGUGAAGUGAUUUACUCAUGGAGCUGAAGUCAGUCGAAGAUACCAGCUGGCUGCAACUGUUUAUUAAAAACACAGCACUGUGCAAACACGAAAGUGGACGUAUACGGUGUGACGCCUGCCCGGUGCCGGAAGGUUAAUUGAUGGGGUCAGCGCAAGCGAAGCUCCUGAUCGAAGCCCCGGUAAACGGCGGCCGUAACUAUAACGGUCCUAAGGUAGCGAAAUUCCUUGUCGGGUAAGUUCCGACCUGCACGAAUGGCGUAAUGAUGGCCAGGCUGUCUCCACCCGAGACUCAGUGAAAUUGAACUCGCUGUGAAGAUGCAGUGUACCCGCGGCAAGACGGAAAGACCCCGUGAACCUUUACUAUAGCUUGACACUGAACAUUGAGCCUUGAUGUGUAGGAUAGGUGGGAGGCUUUGAAGUGUGGACGCCAGUCUGCAUGGAGCCGACCUUGAAAUACCACCCUUUAAUGUUUGAUGUUCUAACGUGGACCCGUUACCCGGGUUGCGGACAGUGUCUGGUGGGUAGUUUGACUGGGGCGGUCUCCUCCUAAAGAGUAACGGAGGAGCACGAAGGUUGGCUAAUCCUGGUCGGACAUCAGGAGGUUAGUGCAAUGGCAUAAGCCAGCUUGACUGCGAGCGUGACGGCGCGAGCAGGUGCGAAAGCAGGUCAUAGUGAUCCGGUGGUUCUGAAUGGAAGGGCCAUCGCUCAACGGAUAAAAGGUACUCCGGGGAUAACAGGCUGAUACCGCCCAAGAGUUCAUAUCGACGGCGGUGUUUGGCACCUCGAUGUCGGCUCAUCACAUCCUGGGGCUGAAGUAGGUCCCAAGGGUAUGGCUGUUCGCCAUUUAAAGUGGUACGCGAGCUGGGUUUAGAACGUCGUGAGACAGUUCGGUCCCUAUCUGCCGUGGGCGCUGGAGAACUGAGGGGGGCUGCUCCUAGUACGAGAGGACCGGAGUGGACGCAUCACUGGUGUUCGGGUUGUCAUGCCAAUGGCACUGCCCGGUAGCUAAAUGCGGAAGAGAUAAGUGCUGAAAGCAUCUAAGCACGAAACUUGCCCCGAGAUGAGUUCUCCCUGAGACUUUAGGUCUCCUGAAGGAACGUUGAAGACGACGACGUUGAUAGGCCGGGUGUGUAAGCGCAGCGAUGCGUUGAGCUAACCGGUACUAAUGAACCGUGAGGCUUAACCUUACAACGCCGAAG
Molecule: ribosomal RNA, 2791 nt
Filed under: Salmonella enterica subsp. enterica serovar Enteritidis
Lineage: Bacteria; Pseudomonadati; Pseudomonadota; Gammaproteobacteria; Enterobacterales; Enterobacteriaceae
Description: partial 23S ribosomal RNA
Rfam family: Bacterial large subunit ribosomal RNA
Source: RNAcentral